AUGGCCGCAUCGUCCCCGGCCUCCAGCGGCAAGGCUGCGAGCGAUUCCUCCGCUCCUCCGGCCCCUUCCCCCGUGGUAUCCAAUGGCAAUGGAACGCCGCAGAAGCCGCCCCCCGUCGCCGGAUUCGACAUGCCCAAGCCCAACCUCCGCGGCCUCAACAAGCCCAAGUGCAUCCAGUGCGGCAACGUCGCCCGCUCCCGGUGCCCGUUCCAGUGUUGCAAGAGCUGCUGCUACAAAGCUCAGAACCCUUGCCACAUUCAUGUUCUCAAACAGAACAACACAUUGCCAGAGAAGACACCACCAGCUCCUAUCCCUUUGUCAGACCAACCAUCUACCAAUUCACCUUUAACAGGUUCUUCGUCGAGGCUGUCUUCCCUACAAAAGCUUCCCCUUCAUUUUCUGAAUUCAAUCCGAACAAGAAAGUCCCUUGCCAAGAAGGACAUUGCAAGCAUAAACAAGUGGAGGUUUAUGAAGCUAAAGGAACAUAUGCAAGGAGAUAUUGAUGUUGAAAAUGAAGCAUAUGAUAGGUACACACAGAAUAUAGGAUUGCUGGAGGAAACGUUCUAUCUCAAAGAAGAUUCUGCUGGUGAACAUGAAACUGAAGCAACUUCCUCGGAAGAAAUGAUGGAAAUAAUGGUCUCUGAGGCAAAGGUGAGGUUAAAAUCUGAUUGCGCAAAUGCAGCUGGCUUUAAAGAGAGGAUUGCCACUGUCUUGGACCAGAAGCUGAAGAAAUUGCAAGAGAGGAACAGUGCCUACGAGGAUGACAACUCCUCUGACCAAAAUCUAGAUGACCAUACGAAGCCUGUGAAGUUGAACAUAAAACAGCAAACAGUGAGAAACGCGAAAACAAACGAGCUGCUUGGUAAGUUAACAAAAGCACAGAGUGAGGAUGAUUUGAAGCCUUGCCUCAGUAUCAUGGCGCAGCUGUUUGGGAAGGAGAUUGCUUCCUCCUCCAUGGGCACAUCAAACAAGUCAAGCGACCAAGAAUCAACCCCUGCAGUUGCGCCCUCUUAUUCAUUUCCGAAGCUCACAACUAGGCUGGAGGUAGACGAGAACAUGAUGUCUAAGAUCAACGAGUUAUAUUCUUUGAGUCAGGUUGUUCAGCUGUAA
Molecule: ribosomal RNA, 1110 nt
Filed under: Triticum aestivum (bread wheat)
Lineage: Eukaryota; Viridiplantae; Streptophyta; Magnoliopsida; Poales; Poaceae
Description: partial small subunit ribosomal RNA
Source: RNAcentral